This 474-nucleotide ribosomal RNA is filed under the name uncultured bacterium. Its description in RNAcentral is "bacterial SSU rRNA". It matches the Rfam family "Bacterial small subunit ribosomal RNA", at positions 355 to 825 of the family's 1533-position model. The record is from RNAcentral.
UGGGGAAUUGUUCACAAUGGGCGCAAGCCUGAUGACGCAACGCCGCGUGGGGGAUGAAGGUCUUCGGAUCGUAAACCCCUGUCGAAUGGGACGAAAGACUCGCGAGUGAAUACUUCGCGAGAGUGACGGUACCGUUAAAGGAAGCCACGGCUAACUCUGUGCCAGCAGCCGCGGUAAUACAGAGGUGGCAAGCGUUGUUCGGAAUUACUGGGCGUAAAGGGCGCGUAGGCGGCCCUCUAAGUCAGACGUGAAAUCCCCCGGCUUAACCUGGGAACUGCGUCUGAUACUGGAGGGCUUGAGUAUGGGAGAGGGAUGUAGAAUUCCAGGUGUAGCCGUGAAAUGCGUAGAUAUCUGGAGGAAUACCGGUGGCGAAGGCGGCAUCCUGGACCAUUACUGACGCUGAGGCGCGAAAGCUAGGGGGGCAAACGGGGAUUAGAUACCCAGGUAGUCCCUGAGCGGGCUGGCAAGGCGCAU